CCUGGCUCAGAGCGAACGCUGGCGGCAGGCCUAACACAUGCAAGUCGAACGGAUCCUUCGGGAUUAGUGGCGGACGGGUGAGUAACACGUGGGAACGUGCCCUUUGGUUCGGAACAACUCAGGGAAACUUGAGCUAAUACCGGAUGUGCCCUUCGGGGGAAAGAUUUAUCGCCAUUGGAGCGGCCCGCGUAGGAUUAGCUAGUUGGUGGGGUAAAGGCCCACCAAGGCUACGAUCCUUAGCUGGUCUGAGAGGAUGAUCAGCCACAUUGGGACUGAGACACGGCCCWAACUCCUACGGGAGGCAGCAGUGGGGAAUCUUGCGCAAUGGGCGAAAGCCUGACGCAGCCAUGCCGCGUGAAUGAUGAAGGUCUUAGGAUUGUAAAAUUCUUUCACCGGGGACGAUAAU
This 406-nucleotide ribosomal RNA is filed under the name Caulobacter sp. R-46323. RNAcentral's name for it is "bacterial SSU rRNA". It matches the Rfam family "Bacterial small subunit ribosomal RNA", at positions 18 to 452 of the family's 1533-position model. The record is from RNAcentral. Lineage: Bacteria; Pseudomonadati; Pseudomonadota; Alphaproteobacteria; Caulobacterales; Caulobacteraceae.